Centruroides sculpturatus (bark scorpion) is the source of this 344-nucleotide long non-coding RNA. RefSeq lists it as uncharacterized. The record is from RefSeq and is a predicted model, not a curated record. Lineage: Eukaryota; Metazoa; Arthropoda; Arachnida; Scorpiones; Buthidae. The transcript has 3 exons.
UGUAUAUAAGGAAUGUAAAAGAAGCAUUGGAUGAUUCGGAGAAAAAGCCAAUAGGCUAGAGUCUCCAUAUUAAUAAGAAAGAAAGAAGAAGCAUUGGAUACAUUUUGUCUCUUCGAAGACUUGGUGCUAGAAGGAUAAAACGACGACUGAGUGAAAAGGGAAGAGAAAAGUGAGAACUUGGACUGAAGACAACUAGUCUUAUUUGUUGUCUGCUUUUCUUUGUUUGUUCAAAACACGACACUCCACAAAAUGUUCUAGCAAUUUCCGGUAGGAUCUAACGCCAGCUCUGUCAAUGAAAAGCUGGCGGUUUUGGUGGUGGCUGCGGCCCAAGAAGAUGAAGUAUG